This 690-nucleotide unclassified non-coding RNA is filed under the name Bombus terrestris (buff-tailed bumblebee). RNAcentral's name for it is "misc RNA ENSBTSG00005030901.1". Lineage: Eukaryota; Metazoa; Arthropoda; Insecta; Hymenoptera; Apidae. The record is from RNAcentral.
UGGUUGAAUAAGGGCGAGGGGGGCAAACACUACCUGCGCAAAGGACCUCAAAUUAACAGCUAAUGAUAAAGGGCACUCUCUGCAUUACGGUGGAUUUCUAAGAGAAACUGGGAUUUAUCUGGCGGGGGAUGGUCGACUCGCAACAAAAUGCUCACGUUCAAUGUAAGACAGCAUUCGAGGCCCGGAAGCAGGCGAAAACUUUUUCGCGGCGUCGAUCGAUAUCGGCCACAUGGCUUUCCGAGAAAAACCAAACGAAUGGAUUUUGCAUUCGUUUUGCUAAAUUUCUUUAAGGUGGAUUUUUUAAUCGUAAUUUAGAAAUUUGCUGCGUGGUCCUACGAGACAGAUUUAUUAUAUAUCCACUGUGAUUCGCGAAAGUAUUUAAACAACCACCCUUGUAGAAGCUUGGAAUAAAUUUCUGACAGUGAAUUUAGAAUUCAAGUAGCCUCGAUUAAAUCGUGUAACUGCGUGGUCACCGAUCGAUACAUCAGGAUCUCCUGGUGCGUUCGAGAGAGAAGGUUCAAGCGCGGCGCAGCACGGGAAUCGCGUAAAACAGGAAACGGCUCGAGGAGAGAAUCAGAGACCGAGGUUGUCCUCCAUUUUGAUCGCAAUGGGGUCAAGGUCGGGGCAUUUUAACACUGCGAGAUCGAUCGAUCGUGGCGACCGCAUCGGCCUCUCGCCGUUUGCUUCGCU